AUCUUUAGUAAUUGCGAAUGAACAAGGAUAUGCUUAGCUUGACAAAUGGAGCUAUUGGCUUUGAAUUGUAUUGUGGAAAUGUAUUACCAACAGAGGUGCAGGUGCCAGCCUAUUGAAAUAAAGCGUCAAUGAGGGUGAGAAUCCUGUUUGUCAUGUGCAGCCCUUUGUGCACGGUGUAUAUUUGCUGAGUCACACUCCUUGGCAUUGGAAUGCAAAGUGGGUGGUAAGUUUCAUGUAAAGGUAAACAUGCAAUUGAGACUGAUAGCACACAAGUACCAUGAGGGAAAUAUGAAAAGGACUUUGAAAAGAGAAUUAAAUGAGUUUGUAUUUGCUGAACACAAAGUAAACAGACUUGAUUUGCUUGGUGGGAGUGUUGCACUUGCUUGACAAGAGCUUUGGGCUGUGGGUGUAAUGAUUCUUUCUUUGCAUGCCAGUUUCUAUUUGUACAUCUGAUUACCUUUGCACAUGAAUGAUAAGUCUCCUGUGGGGGGUGGAUUGCAUGUGCAUGUAAUGAUUUGUGUUUUGAUAAAUGUGUCUGGUGUAUGUGUGUGUUCCUGUGCUUGGGGAUGCUUCCUUCCUUGGACUUACAAGCCCUGACAC
RNAcentral lists this ribosomal RNA (600 nucleotides) under Alexandrium fundyense. RNAcentral's name for it is "eukaryotic LSU rRNA". It matches the Rfam family "Eukaryotic large subunit ribosomal RNA", at positions 76 to 608 of the family's 3401-position model. Lineage: Eukaryota; Dinophyceae; Gonyaulacales; Pyrocystaceae. The record is from RNAcentral.